RNAcentral lists this transfer RNA (72 nucleotides) under Camelus bactrianus (Bactrian camel). It matches the Rfam family "tRNA". Rfam says of the family: Transfer RNA (tRNA) molecules are approximately 80 nucleotides in length. Their secondary structure includes four short double-helical elements and three loops (D, anti-codon, and T loops). The record is from Rfam by way of RNAcentral. Lineage: Eukaryota; Metazoa; Chordata; Mammalia; Artiodactyla; Camelidae. RNAcentral also lists the same sequence under 2 other names.
GUAUGUAUGGCUCAGUGGUAGAGCUCCUGCCUGGUGUGCAGGAAGUCCUGGGUUCAGUCCCCAGUGCCUUCA